AUCGCUUCUUGGCCUUUUGGCUGAGAUCAAGUGUAGUGCCUGUUCUUAUCAGUUUAACGAAUUUAUUUAUAUAGGUGCCUCAGUUCCUUCGUUAAAAUACCAGCUGUUUAGGAGUAGACGGCUUCUUUUGCAGCAAAAUUGUUUCUCUUUCUCAAAAAGUAACUUUU
This is a non-coding RNA of Erinaceus europaeus (western European hedgehog), 167 nucleotides long. The record is from Rfam. Lineage: Eukaryota; Metazoa; Chordata; Mammalia; Eulipotyphla; Erinaceidae.